This is a long non-coding RNA of Cryptomeria japonica (Japanese cedar), 354 nucleotides long. RefSeq lists it as uncharacterized. The transcript is spliced from 3 exons. NCBI's taxonomy places the organism in Eukaryota, Viridiplantae, Streptophyta, Pinopsida, Cupressales, Cupressaceae. The record is from RefSeq and is a predicted model, not a curated record.
UUCUUCUCAUGCUGUAGCAGUUUGACUUCCUUGUCUUUCAAGAGCUGUGUAGUGAUAUCUUGACUAGAGGACCUUGUGCCCAUUUUCAAGGAGGAUUAAUAUGUUUAGAAGCUGUAUUUGCCAAAAGAUGCCUGAAGAAUAUACAUUAUUAUACACUCUUGAGAAAUAUCUUGAUUCAAAUAUCGUCAAUUUUUUUCUAGAUGCCAAAAGAUACUUAAGAACGGGCAUUCUAUUCUACUCUUUGAAAACUUACCUAGAUUCCAUUAUUUAUAUUUUCAUUUUGUAAUGGGCUCCUCUAAUUUUUUAUCUUCUCAACACUUAGUGAAUAAAAUGUUGACAUGAAUUUCAACUUCA